Long non-coding RNA from Sebastes umbrosus (honeycomb rockfish), 544 nucleotides. RefSeq lists it as uncharacterized. Lineage: Eukaryota; Metazoa; Chordata; Actinopteri; Perciformes; Sebastidae. The transcript has 3 exons. The record is from RefSeq and is a predicted model, not a curated record.
GAAAAGACCUCAGUCACUCUGCGUUGUCCUCACUCUGUGGAGGGUGAAGUGACGUGGAGCAGAGAGAUUGAUGGACGUAAAGUUCUCAUUCUGACAGCUGGUGCUGACCGAGACAUAAGACACAAUGACCCGGGCAAACGAUACAGUUCAUUCGCAGAUAAGUCACUGUACAUUCACAGAGUUAACAUCUCAGACGCUGGAAGAUACUUGUGUAAUAAUGAACCAGUCGUGGAGCUGACGGUGAUCCCAUCAGGAGCAACCAGACUUGAUCCUACAGAGAGGACCAGCGUCACUAUCACAUGCCCUCAUGAUGUUGGAGGAUCACAUAUUACUACAUGGAGCAGCAGAGGCUUUCGUGACUUACAAUAUCAAAGAGGGUUUCAUGUUUCACCUGUUGACCAGACGUUGACCGUAGCAAGCGUGGAACUUGGUAACUCUGGACUUUACUACUGUAAUGGAAAACCAGCUGUGUACCUGAAUGUGAUCAAAGAUAACAAGACACCACCGACGACCUCAACUACAGCAACAACAACUGUGACAGCAG